Molecule: long non-coding RNA, 2072 nt
Filed under: Lactuca sativa (garden lettuce)
Lineage: Eukaryota; Viridiplantae; Streptophyta; Magnoliopsida; Asterales; Asteraceae
Description: long non-coding RNA (LSAT_LNC009320)
Source: RNAcentral
CUGGAAUGCCAACCAAGGACCUGAAUUCACUUGGGAGCGCGAGAAUCAAUCGAUUAGGAAGUAUCCCCACUUUUUGGGCUCGAUUAUUCAUGCUUACUUCCGUUACCUAAAUUCUAAUUUCGGGACGAAAUUCCUUCUAACGGGGGGAUGAUGUGACAACCCGAAAUUUCUAUUCUGUACAACCCUUCACUUCAAUAGAAGUCAGAAUAGUUUCUGCAAACUUUCAAGCUUUUUGGAAUAAGUUUGAGUAUGUUAGGAUUAACCCUUUUAGGAGAUAUCAGGAGAGAGGAUGCCCUAGGGUUUAUUGUGCAUCAUUAAAGUUCCAAAAACUUCAAGAGUUUGGAGUUUACGGCCCAAAUGGUAUUUGGACCAUAAACCCUAGUGAGUAUAUAUAUAUAUGGCACUUAGCCAUUUAAAUCACUUUUUCACCAUUUCAAAGUUACAACUCAAAUCCCCUCAAGUAGCAUCCGACCUAUCCUUCUAGAUCUUCAACCUAGUAAGUGUUCCUAACCCUUUUAAGUUGGUAUAUCACUUAAUCUAGUGUUUUAACACACUUCCAUCCGUAAAAAUGUUCCAAAAGGUUAGAUCUUCAAGUUUCACCAAGAACACCAAGAACACACACUAGUGUUCUUGGCCUUUUGGUACCAUUUCAAGCCUUUAACCUGUAAGUACUUCUAUCCUAGAGUAUCUCUAGGCUUCUUAUACUUCCAUAUAUCAAGAAAACACCCAAGAAACUGAAGAUCAAAGGUGUUUACGGUCCAAGAUGUUCUUGGACCGUAAACCCUAAAAAGUGUGCCAAAGUGGCCCUAGUCCCUUCUCAAGCUUUGGAAACCAGUUUAGACCCCUUCCUUGAUGUGUUUAGGACUCGAAAACGUUAAAAGCCCUUAUAUCAUAUGUGUUUACGACCGUGAACACAUGGAAUAGUAGUCCAUGGGCCAUAAACUACAUAUAAGAGUGAUUUGAUGCCACAAACACUUCCAUACACUUAUGCUUCAAGUAGAAUUGCUUCUAAGGACUCAUAAGGCUUCAGAACUCAAAGUGGUCAAAUAAGCAUGAGUUUACGGCCAUNCCAUGGAAAUAGUGCAAUUAGGGAAACUUUGCGCGGAGUUCUCUAAAUACGAGUAUUGGAAUUGAUGAGUCAAAUUCCUAAGACACACUAUUAGUGAUGUGGAAAUUCCUGAGGACCCUUUCAAUUUAUCAAAACCGUUGAGAAUUUGUCAGCACCAAAGGCGCCGAUGGGAAUUCGCCAAAUUCUAAGUCUUGCAGACCUACUAUCGUAGUUCAUUUAGAACUCCUGGAAAAUUAUGGAACCUCUUACGACUUUGACCCAGAAGGGAGUGGCCCUUGACUGGGAAGAGGAGCAAGAGGGAGAAACCCUUGGAACUCCAGGUGAGAGACCAAAUUCUUUUGGAAGUCUCACUCUGGGAAGGCUUAAUAUGCUUCAUAAAGCGUGGAAAGCUAAAUUCAAGAUAGUUAGGACCUCCGAGAUUCUUGCCAUAACCGGCCUUGUAUCUCACAAACUCAAUCUACCCCGCGAGCUUAGAAACAUACAUUCUACCCUUCACGUCUCGAGCUUGCAAAAAGUAUCAAUCCGACGAGACUCUUGAAAUCCCACUCGAAGAGAUCGAGUUCCACAAGAGUCUCACCUGCGUGGAAGAACCGUAGUGACCAUGGAUUGAGAGGUCAUGCGAACGAUUCAUAGCCAUUUCCCUUUAGUGAAGGUUUGCUGGAAUGCCAACCAAGGACCUGAAUUCACUUGGGAGCGCGAGAAUCAAUCGAUUAGGAAGUAUCCCCACUUUUUUGGCUCGAUUAUUCAUGCUUACUUCCGUUACCUAAAUUCUAAUUUCGGGACGAAAUUCCUUCUAACGGGGGGAUGAUGUGACAACCCGAAAUUUCUAUUCUGUACAACCCUUCACUUCAAUAGAAGUCAGAAUAGUUUCUGCAAACUUUCAAGCUUUUUGGAAUAAGUUUGAGUAUGUUAGGAUUAACCCUUUUAGGAGAUAUCAGGAGAGAGGAUGCCCUAGGGUUUAUUGUGCAUCAUUAAAGUUCCAAAAACUUCAAGAGUUUGGAGU